Mustela lutreola (European mink) is the source of this 2286-nucleotide long non-coding RNA. RefSeq lists it as uncharacterized. The transcript has 3 exons. Lineage: Eukaryota; Metazoa; Chordata; Mammalia; Carnivora; Mustelidae. The record is from RefSeq and is a predicted model, not a curated record.
CUCUCUUCUACUGGCUUCUGGUUUUCUUUAAAAUGUGGGUUUUGGGCUCUUCUUGGUUCUCAGCUCUGGGUCCUGGUCACUAGCUUCUGCUAAAGCAAAAGUCUCAGCACCCAGGGCAGCAGAUGGGCUUAUAUAAGUGGGUGACUUGCCCACGGUCACAUGGGGUACUCUCAUCAGAUUGGGGACCAGCUUCCCUUCUCUGGAUUCCCAGACAGGGACAAUCCCUCCAUCAUUCCCUCUUGUCCUGACAUUUAGGGAUACAAAAGAUGACUUGGGGCAAGGAUUUGAGUGCAAGUGGUUUUUCUGGGCGAUGCUUUCAGAAAGCAACAUGACCAUGUGAGGCAGGGGAAGGAAAAGGAAGAAAGCCCACAAAGGGUAUGUUUGUGAAAGAGUUACCAUCAGAGACAACAGGGACUCAAGCCAACAGGGGAUUCUGUAGGGACUGCACAGGACACACCUCAGAAUCGCCAGGCACGGGCUGAGGAAGCUAGGGUGUUUGCCCACCAGCCCUACACCUUAUUGGCUGAGGCAGCUCCUGGAGGCCUUCAUAGCAUGGUGACUCAGGGCUGCCCCGUAGGCCAGGUGCCCUCCCGCCAAAAGAAGCCACCUGCGUACAAAGUGACCACGGAGGCUUCAGUUCCCUCCCUCCAUGGGCUGAGAGGUGACAGGCGGGGCACAGAGGUGUCUGCCACAAGACCACUCUCCAGCCAUCCCUUUAGAGUCUCAAUAAAAACAAAACCAGACCGGGAGUGGAGUGGGGACAUCACGGCUUACCACACAGCCCUGUCUUUGAUUAACUCCUUAUGCCUCGAUCCUAAGUGUAUGCUCGCUGGAUUUUCCACAGAUCAAACAGAGUCAUGAAGGUGGCACUCAGAUCAAGAAGCAGAACCCAACCAGCCCCCUGAAAAUCGCCGUGGUGGUCCCUUCUUGUUGCCACCUCCUUGAGGGGAACUGGACCUGCUCCUAACUUCUAACAGCAAGAGAUUCGUUUUGCCCUACUUUAGGACUUCCUAAAAAACAGACUCCUCCGUGUGUAAACUUUUGGGCCUGACUUGCACUCAGAGCUGUGUGGUGAGCUGUUGUUGCUCGUGGCCAGAAAUCGUGUGUUUGCCCUGCUGUGGCGGGAUCCAGCUGUGUGAACACACGACGACCCGCAUAUUCAUACCGCUGCUGCCAGACAUCCGAGUGGUUUCCAGCUGGGGCAGUUAUGGACGGUGCUGCUCUAGGGACUGUCUUGUCCGGACUUCUGGGGGACACAUGCUCUCCCCCUCUUGAGGCAAAACUCAAGAGUGGAAUUUCUGGAUCAUAGUAUGCGCAUGUGAUCAGCUUUAGUGAAUCCCACCAAAUAGUUUCCUAAAAUGAUGGGACCAUGUGAACCCCCCCACCCCCACCCCUGCGGGCGGACAAAAAUUCCGGUUGCUACACUUCCUUGCCCACACUUGGUCUUCCCAUUGUUUUCCUUCUGUGACUUCAUGGCUUUUUUUACAGUCUCCAUGGGGGGCCACUCCCACCCCCAGCCGUUGCCCACAUUUCAAUGAUGAGAAGACUGGAGUCUCAGAGAGGGGAGUCCCUCACCCCACAUCGCACAGCUUGCGGCAGGCUGGGAACUUAAGUCAGAGUUCUAGCAGAUUUUCAGAUGGGAAGUGCUCAUGUCAUGGUCUCCGGGGUCCUGAGAUCGAGCCCGGCCAUGGCUGGUGUUCAGUGCUGACUGAACAUCCCCAGGACUGAGGCCAGCGGGUAGGUGGUGAGCACAUGAAGAACGAGCCUUCGGACACAGGACUGGUGGGAGAAGACUUGGACAUGUCUCUGGGAGUGUCCUUGGAUAGUUGUAUAUCCAAAUCACUUGAAAACAUACAUGCCCUUUGCCCUGGAAACUUCUUGGAGGUGGACAAACGUCUGCAUACAUAGAUUCAAGGAUGUCUUUCAAACCGGUUUUUAUAAUAAAGGAAACUAGGAAUGAUCAGCGAGGGCUCAGUAAAUCAUGGUGAUGGUAGACUGUGGAAUAUUCUGUUGACAGUGAUCCUGUGGGUCCAUUAUUGAUGUAGAAAAAUGGUGACAAUAUAUCACAUUAAAAUGGAGCAGAAGGGGCGCCUGGGUGGCUCAGUGGGUUAAAGCCUCUGCCUUCGGCUCAGGUUAUGAUCCCAGGGUCCUGGGAUUGAGCUCCGCAUCGGGCUCUCUGCUCAGCAGGGAGCCUGCUUCCUUCUCUCUCUCCGCCUGCUUCUCUGCCUACUUGUGAUCUCUGUCUGUCAAAUAAAUUUAAAAAAUCUAAAAAAAAUAAAAAAAUAA